GUCGGUAUAACGUCAGAAGACAUGGGUUGGAUAUUUUAUAGGAUGCAGGGAGACGUCUGGUACCUUCUCGAUCAGUCUUACUUGUGUCGUGGGCUUUUGUUAACGAACUUUCUGGUAAAUUCUGGAGCUUUGUGGCUUUCAUAGGGAAGCCUCUGGACUCUGAGCUUGGAUGUGGGCUUUUUUUUGUGUUAUCCUCAAACGGUGUCAUCCACACUGUAAAGUUAAAUAAAGUAUUUUCACACAUGUAAUUGUAUAAUGAUCGCAUCUUUAUGUUAAACAAACCCACAAAUGUCAAUUAGAGUACUAAUCUUUAAGUUUCAUAUAAAUCAUUUCUGUUCACUUCUUCAAAUAUCAUAAUUCAUAACCCACACACUAUAUAUAUAUCAUCUCAUUUGUUUUCUUGUUGGCAAUAACUUAUAUCACACACGCACAAUUAA
Molecule: unclassified non-coding RNA, 437 nt
Filed under: Hevea brasiliensis (rubber tree)
Lineage: Eukaryota; Viridiplantae; Streptophyta; Magnoliopsida; Malpighiales; Euphorbiaceae
Source: RNAcentral